UACGUAGGGGGCAAGCGUUGUCCGGAAUCAUUGGGCGUAAAGCGCGUGUAGGCGGCCCGGUAAGUCCGCUGUGAAAGUCGGGGGCUCAACCCUCGAAUGCCGGUGGAUACUGUCGGGCUAGAGUGCGGGAAAGGCGAGUGGAAUUCCUGGUGUAGCGGUGAAAUGCGCAGAUAUCAGGAGGAACACCAAUUGCGAAGGCAGCUCGCUGGAACGUAACUGACGCUGAGACGCGAAAGCGUGGGGAGCAAACAGG
RNAcentral lists this ribosomal RNA (253 nucleotides) under uncultured bacterium. RNAcentral's name for it is "partial 16S ribosomal RNA". It matches the Rfam family "Bacterial small subunit ribosomal RNA", at positions 524 to 776 of the family's 1533-position model. The record is from RNAcentral.